This 496-nucleotide ribosomal RNA is filed under the name uncultured bacterium. Its description in RNAcentral is "partial 16S ribosomal RNA". It matches the Rfam family "Bacterial small subunit ribosomal RNA", at positions 29 to 507 of the family's 1533-position model. The record is from RNAcentral.
GUGAACGCUGGCGGCGUGCCUAAUACAUGCAAGUCGCGCGAACGGACGAGAAGCUUGCUUUUCUGAUGUUAGCGGCGGACGGGUGAGUAACACGUGGAUAACCUACCUAUAAGACUGGGAUAACUUCGGGAAACCGGAGCUAAUACCGGAUAAUAUUUUGAACCGCAUGGUUCAAAAGUGAAAGACGGUCUUGCUGUCACUUAUAGAUGGAUCCGCGCUGCAUUAGCUAGUUGGUAAGGUAACGGCUUACCAAGGCAACGAUGCAUAGCCGACCUGAGAGGGUGAUCGGCCACACUGGAACUGAGACACGGUCCAGACUCCUACGGGAGGCAGCAGUAGGGAAUCUUCCGCAAUGGGCGAAAGCCUGACGGAGCAACGCCGCGUGAGUGAUGAAGGUCUUCGGAUCGUAAAACUCUGUUAUUAGGGAAGAACAUAUGUGUAAGUAACUGUGCACAUCUUGACGGUACCUAAUCAGAAAGCCACGGCUAACUACGUG